UUGUCCCUACGGGAGGCAGCAGUGAGGAAUAUUGGUCAAUGGGCUUACGCCUGAACCAGCCAAGUCGCGUGAGGGAAGACCGCCCUAUGGGUUGUAAACCUCUUUUGUCAGGGAGCAACGCCGGCUACGUGUAGCCGGACUGAGAGUACCUGAAGAAAAAGCAUCGGCUAACUCCGUGCCAGCAGCCGCGGUAAUACGGAGGAUGCGAGCUUUAUCCGGAUUUAUUGGGUUUAGAGGUUGCGUAGUCGGAAUGCCAAGUCAGCGGUAAAAUCGCGUGGCUCAACCUCGCUCCGCCGU
This 297-nucleotide ribosomal RNA is filed under the name uncultured bacterium. RNAcentral describes it as "partial 16S ribosomal RNA". It matches the Rfam family "Bacterial small subunit ribosomal RNA", at positions 333 to 627 of the family's 1533-position model. The record is from RNAcentral.